RNAcentral lists this ribosomal RNA (301 nucleotides) under uncultured bacterium. RNAcentral's name for it is "partial 16S ribosomal RNA". It matches the Rfam family "Bacterial small subunit ribosomal RNA", at positions 509 to 808 of the family's 1533-position model. The record is from RNAcentral.
CAGUCGCCGCGGUAAAACGUAGGUCCCGAGCGUUGUCCGGAUUUAUUGGGCGUAAAGCGAGCGCAGGCGGUUAGAUAAGUCUGAAGUUAAAGGCUGUGGCUUAACCAUAGUACGCUUUGGAAACUGUUUAACUUGAGUGCAAGAGGGGAGAGUGGAAUUCCAUGUGUAGCGGUGAAAUGCGUAGAUAUAUGGAGGAACACCGGUGGCGAAAGCGGCUCUCUGGCUUGUAACUGACGCUGAGGCUCGAAAGCGUGGGGAGCAAACAGGAUUAGAUACCCGCGUAGUCCCUGUCUCUUAUACA